RNAcentral lists this ribosomal RNA (594 nucleotides) under uncultured bacterium. Its description in RNAcentral is "bacterial SSU rRNA". It matches the Rfam family "Bacterial small subunit ribosomal RNA", at positions 470 to 1059 of the family's 1533-position model. The record is from RNAcentral.
UGACGGUAUCAUAUGAAUAAGCACCGGCUAACUCCGUGCCAGCAGCCGCGGUAAUACGGGGGGUGCAAGCGUUACUCGGAAUCACUGGGCGUAAAGAGCAUGUAGGCGGGUGAAUAAGUUGGAAGUGAAAUCCUAUAGCUUAACUAUAGAACUGCUUCCAAAACUGUUCACCUAGAGUAUGGGAGAGGUAGAUGGAAUUUCUGGUGUAGGGGUAAAAUCCGUAGAGAUCAGAAGGAAUACCGAUUGCGAAGGCGAUCUACUGGAACAUUACUGACGCUCAGAUGCGAAAGCGUGGGGAGCAAACAGGAUUAGAUACCCUGGCAGUCCACGCCCUAAACGAUGUACACUAGUUGUUGCUAUACUAGAUAUGGCAGUAAUGCAGUUAACACUUUAAGUGUACCGCCUGGGGAGUACGGUCGCAAGAUUAAAACUCAAAGGAAUAGACGGGGACCCGCACAAGCGGUGGAGCAUGUGGUUUAAUUCGACGAUACGCGAAAAACCUUACCUGGCCUUGACAUAGUAGGAAUCUUUAAGAGAUUAGAGAGUGCUAGCUUGCUAGAACCUACAUACAGGUGCUGCACGGCUGUCGUCAGC